UAUUUUGAUUUUUUGUACUACAAUUCAGUUCUACUUCGUGAAGCAGAUAAAUAAGAUUGACAACGAUAAAAGUUUAAUUUUAAACAAAAUUUAAAAAAGAACAAAUUAAACAAAUUUAUUACAAGUGAAUUAUUGCAACGUUCUAUAAAACAAAGAAACAACAAGCAAAAAAAUUGCAUUUAAAUUUUCACCAAGUUCCUUUAAUUUAACAAAAGUGCUACAAAUUAAAACGAAAAUUUGAAAAAUUACACAAAAACAACAAAAAUACAUAAAUAAUUGAAUCUAUAGUAUAUUAUUAAAAGAAAACAUUUAGAUAAGUAA
Long non-coding RNA from Lucilia sericata (common green bottle fly), 321 nucleotides. RefSeq lists it as uncharacterized. The record is from RefSeq and is a predicted model, not a curated record. The transcript is spliced from 2 exons. Lineage: Eukaryota; Metazoa; Arthropoda; Insecta; Diptera; Calliphoridae.